AAACUAACAAGCUUGCUUGUUGGGGUUGUAGGACACUCUAUACGGAGUUACAAAAGAACAUGUUAGACGAAUCAUCUGGAAAGAUGAAUCAAAGAAGGUAAUAAUCCUGUAGUCGAAAACAUAUUCUCUCUUGAGUGGAUCCUGAGUACGACGGAGCACGUGAAAUUCCGUCGGAAUCUGGGAGGACCAUCUCCUAAGGCUAAAUACUCUCUAGUGACCGAUAGUGAACCAGUACCGUGAGGGAAAGGUGAAAAGUACCCCGGAAGGGGAGUGAAAGAGAACUUGAAACCGUGUGCUUACAAGUAGUCAGAGCCCGUUAAUGGGUGAUGGCGUGCCUUUUGUAGAAUGAACCGGCGAGUUACGAUCUGAUGCAAGGUUAAGCAGCAAAUGUGGAGCCGCAGCGAAAGCGAGUCUGAAUAGGGCGUUGAGUAUUUGGUCGUAGACCCGAAACCAGGUGAUCUACCCUUGGUCAGGUUGAAGUUCAGGUAACACUGAAUGGAGGACCGAACCGACUUACGUUGAAAAGUGAGCGGAUGAACUGAGGGUAGCGGAGAAAUUCCAAUCGAACUUGGAGAUAGCUGGUUCUCUCCGAAAUAGCUUUAGGGCUAGCCUCAAGUGAUGAUUAUUGGAGGUAGAGCACUGUUUGGACGAGGGGCCCCUCUCGGGUUACCGAAUUCAGACAAACUCCGAAUGCCAAUUAAUUUAACUUGGGAGUCAGAACAUGGGUGAUAAGGUCCGUGUUCGAAAGGGAAACAGCCCAGACCACCAGCUAAGGUCCCAAAAUAUAUGUUAAGUGGAAAAGGAUGUGGCGUUGCCCAGACAACUAGGAUGUUGGCUUAGAAGCAGCCAUCAUUUAAAGAGUGCGUAAUAGCUCACUAGUCGAGUGACACUGCGCCGAAAAUGUACCGGGGCUAAACAUAUUACCGAAGCUGUGGAUUGUCCUUUGGACAAUGGUAGGAGAGCGUUCUAAGGGCGUCGAAGCAUGAUCGCAAGGACAUGUGGAGCGCUUAGAAGUGAGAAUGCCGGUGUGAGUAGCGAAAGACGGGUGAGAAUCCCGUCCACCGAUUGACUAAGGUUUCCAGAGGAAGGCUCGUCCGCUCUGGGUUAGUCGGGUCCUAAGCUGAGGCCGACAGGCGUAGGCGAUGGAUAACAGGUUGAUAUUCCUGUACCACCUAGUAUCGUUUUAAUCGAUGGGGGGACGCAGUAGGAUAGGCGAAGCGUGCUGUUGGAGUGCACGUCCAAGCAGUAAGGCUGAGUGUUAGGCAAAUCCGGCACUCAUAAGGCUGAGCUGUGAUGGGGAGAGGAAAUUGUUUCCUCGAGUCGUUGAUUUCACACUGCCGAGAAAAGCCUCUAGAUAGAUAACAGGUGCCCGUACCGCAAACCGACACAGGUAGUCAAGAUGAGAAUUCUAAGGUGAGCGAGCGAACUCUCGUUAAGGAACUCGGCAAAAUGACCCCGUAACUUCGGGAGAAGGGGUGCUCUUUAGGGUUCACGCCCAGAAGAGCCGCAGUGAAUAGGCCCAAGCGACUGUUUAUCAAAAACACAGGUCUCUGCUAAACCGUAAGGUGAUGUAUAGGGGCUGACGCCUGCCCGGUGCUGGAAGGUUAAGAGGAGUGGUUAGCUUCUGCGAAGCUACGAAUCGAAGCCCCAGUAAACGGCGGCCGUAACUAUAACGGUCCUAAGGUAGCGAAAUUCCUUGUCGGGUAAGUUCCGACCCGCACGAAAGGCGUAACGAUUUGGGCACUGUCUCAACGAGAGACUCGGUGAAAUCAUAGUACCUGUGAAGAUGCAGGUUACCCGCGACAGGACGGAAAGACCCCGUGGAGCUUUACUGUAGCCUGAUAUUGAAAUUCGGCACAGCUUGUACAGGAUAGGUAGGAGCCUUUGAAACGUGAGCGCUAGCUUACGUGGAGGCGUUGGUGGGAUACUACCCUAGCUGUGUUGGCUUUCUAACCCGCACCACUUAUCGUGGUGGGAGACAGUGUCAGGCGGGCAGUUUGACUGGGGCGGUCGCCUCCUAAAAGGUAACGGAGGCGCUCAAAGGUUCCCUCAGAAUGGUUGGAAAUCAUUCAUAGAGUGUAAAGGCAUAAGGGAGCUUGACUGCGAGACCUACAAGUCGAGCAGGGUCGAAAGACGGACUUAGUGAUCCGGUGGUUCCGCAUGGAAGGGCCAUCGCUCAACGGAUAAAAGCUACCCCGGGGAUAACAGGCUUAUCUCCCCCAAGAGUUCACAUCGACGGGGAGGUUUGGCACCUCGAUGUCGGCUCAUCGCAUCCUGGGGCUGUAGUCGGUCCCAAGGGUUGGGCUGUUCGCCCAUUAAAGCGGUACGCGAGCUGGGUUCAGAACGUCGUGAGACAGUUCGGUCCCUAUCCGUCGUGGGCGUAGGAAAUUUGAGAGGAGCUGUCCUUAGUACGAGAGGACCGGGAUGGACAUACCUCUGGUGUACCAGUUGUCGUGCCAACGGCAUAGCUGGGUAGCUAUGUAUGGACGGGAUAAGUGCUGAAAGCAUCUAAGCAUGAAGCCCCCCUCAAGAUGAGAUUUCCCAACUUCGGUUAUAAGAUCCCUCGAAGAUGACGAGGUUAAUAGGUUCGAGGUGGAAGCGUGGUGACACGUGGAGCUGACGAAUACUAAUCGAUCGAAGACUUAAUCAAUUU
RNAcentral lists this ribosomal RNA (2653 nucleotides) under Staphylococcus epidermidis Scl22. Its description in RNAcentral is "bacterial LSU rRNA". It matches the Rfam family "Bacterial large subunit ribosomal RNA". The record is from RNAcentral. Lineage: Bacteria; Bacillati; Bacillota; Bacilli; Caryophanales; Staphylococcaceae.